Lynx canadensis (Canada lynx) is the source of this 5327-nucleotide RNA transcript. It is a transcript of the gene named protein phosphatase, Mg2+/Mn2+ dependent 1H, with no coding region annotated. The transcript is spliced from 12 exons. The record is from RefSeq and is a predicted model, not a curated record. NCBI's taxonomy places the organism in Eukaryota, Metazoa, Chordata, Mammalia, Carnivora, Felidae.
UCCUGCUCGCACCGCUGCUGCCGGGCGCCGGAGUAAUAUGCUCACCCGAGUGAAAUCUGCCGUGGCCAAUUUCAUGGGCGGCAUCAUGGCUGGCAGCUCAGGCUCCGAGCACAGCGGCGGCGGCUGUGGAGGCUCGGACCUGCCCCUGCGCUUCCCCUACGGGCGGCCGGAGUUCCUGGGGCUGUCUCAGGACGAGGUGGAGUGCAGCGCCGACCACAUCGCCCGCCCCAUCCUCAUCCUCAAGGAGACCCGGCGGCUGCCCUGGGCCACUGGCUACGCAGAGGUUAUCAAUGCCGGGAAGAGCACAUACAAUGAAGACCAAGCCAGCUGUGAGGUACUCACUGUGAAGAAGAAAGCAGGGGCCAUUACCUCAACCCCGAACAGGAACUCCACUAAGAGACGGUCCUCCCUUCCCAAUGGGGAAGGGCUGCAACUGAAGGAGAACUCGGAAUCAGAGGGCGUUUCCUGUCACUACUGGUCGCUGUUUGACGGUCACGCGGGGUCUGGGGCUGCCGUGGUAGCCUCCCGCCUGCUGCAGCACCACGUCACGGAGCAGCUGCAGGACAUCGUGGAGAUCCUGAAGAACUCGGCGGUCCUGCCGCCCACCUGCCUGGGCGAGGAGCCCGAGAACACGCCCGCCAACAGCCGGACUCUGACCCGCGCAGCCUCGCUCCGCGGGGGCGUGGGGGCCCCGGGCUCCCCCAGCACCCCGCCCACGCGCUUCUUUACGGAGAAGAAGAUUCCGCACGAGUGCCUGGUCAUCGGGGCUCUUGAAAGUGCGUUCAAGGAAAUGGACCUACAAAUAGAACGAGAGAGGAGUUCGUAUAAUAUAUCUGGUGGCUGCACAGCCCUCAUUGUGGUUUGCCUCUUGGGGAAGCUGUAUGUGGCGAAUGCUGGCGAUAGCAGGGCCAUAAUCAUCAGAAAUGGAGAAAUCAUCCCCAUGUCUUCAGAGUUUACCCCUGAGACUGAGCGCCAGCGACUCCAGUACCUGGCAUUCAUGCAGCCUCACUUGCUGGGAAACGAAUUCACACAUUUGGAGUUUCCAAGGAGAGUACAGAGAAAGGAACUUGGAAAGAAGAUGCUCUACAGGGACUUUAAUAUGACAGGCUGGGCAUACAAAACCAUUGAGGAUGAUGACCUGAAGUUCCCCCUUAUAUAUGGAGAAGGCAAGAAGGCCCGAGUAAUGGCAACUAUUGGAGUGACCAGGGGACUUGGGGACCAUGACCUGAAGGUGCAUGACUCCAACAUCUACAUAAAACCAUUCCUGUCUUCAGCUCCAGAGGUAAGAGUCUACGAUCUCUCCAAAUAUGAGCAUGGAGCAGAUGAUGUGCUGAUCUUGGCCACCGAUGGACUCUGGGAUGUUUUAUCAAAUGAAGAAGUGGCAGAAGCCAUCUCCCAGUUUCUUCCUAACUGUGAUCCAGAUGACCCUCACAGGUACACACUGGCAGCUCAGGACCUGGUGAUGCGUGCCCGCGGUGUCCUGAAGGACAGAGGAUGGCGGAUAUCUAAUGACCGGCUGGGCUCAGGAGACGACAUUUCUGUUCUGUGGACUGUGACUGUUCGCAGGGCCACCCCACAACAGUAAGUAUCUGCAUCCCGUCAAGGAGCGGCAGCCCUGCUUCCCCCUCGUUUUUGGGCAAGACCCACUCAGAAUAGCCUUUUGAUAAAAGCGAAUUUGAAUUGAGUUGACUGGUCAUCCUCAUGCUGUGCACCCCAUUCCUUCUCCUUGGAAUCACGUCCCAGCAACUGAGGACCCCAGUUCCCACAGAUGCUCCACUUCUGAGUGUUCCUUACAAGAGCUGAAGAAGCAGUGGACAGCAGAUCUACCUGUUGCUUCCCUGCUGGGAGGAAUCACAAAGUAGUGUUCUAGAAAUCACUUCUCUCUCAGGCAGACGACUGCCCUGCACUGAGGGGCCCUGUAGAGCGACGUCCCAUUACUGAGUCUUCUUCCCGCACACUUCCUGUGGUAUCAUCACCAUCUUGACAGUUCUGCGUAAUGAAAACAUUCUUCCCACCCCACAAAGAAAAAUGUCAUUGACAUGAUUCCCUGAACUGCUGGAGAGCCACUUCGAGUUCGCAUGUUUGUUGAAUCCCUUCCCCAGAGGAGAGGACAGGAACCUUUCCUCCAGGAUAGUUAAUCACCUUCCUGGAGUUGUAGAUAUUUUAUUAGGAAAGGCCUAGAGCCUCUCUACUCAGGAAUGAACUCAUUCCACCAUGUGGAAAGGAUGCCCUGUCUGGCAGGUGAGGUACUACAGGAAUUCAUGCAUCAGCUGUUCGCCAAAAUGUUGCCCAGGGAGAAUCGGAUUACUACCUUGUCAGGGGGUCCUCUUCAUCUGACAGCCUCCCUCCUCUGCCAGUAGAUCUUAGCUACCCCAGAUGUCUCUGUGGGGACAAGUUUGUGGUAAACCAUCUGCUUCUCUGGCAGAAUGUGAUGCUAUGAGACAACAUGCAGGUACCCUACAGCAGUGUCAUCCGCUUUCUGUUCCUGCCCCGACUCAAAGUCUUGUACGAAUUGGAAACAAGAAGGUUUUUUUUGUGGGACUCUGAAUGGCCGACUUUGGGAAGCUGCCCUCACAGGCAGUCACCUCUUUCUCAUGUUCCCAUUAUCUUUCAUCUGUUUUCUCUCCUGGGCUUCUAUGUUGGUCCGACCUUGAGCUUUUCUCGUUUUAUUCGAGCCACCAGAGUCUAACUUUGGGUGUAGAUGUCAUGACAGCCUUCUACUCAAUUCACCAAUUCAUUUACUGCCAAGAAAUGUCUCAGGAAAAAUUCUAGAAACAACCCCCCCCCAACCCCGACUUUUCAAUUUAUCCUAAAGUCUUGAGCAUGUAGUCCUGCUGGUUUUAGUUAGAAUGGUAUCCAGGAAUUCUUUUCAUAAGCUUUUUUGGUGGAAAGAUCUUAGUAAAAGCUGAAGCCCUAUUUCUGUUUGGGGGAUGGGAGGAAAAUUACAAACGAGGUGAAUAAAUCAUAUGUGGAAAAAGUGAUUUUUUAAUGCCCAUAGCAGAUCUGCCCAGCACUGAUAUUGCUCUGUGAAUUGAGCUUACUCUGUUUGGCCUUAUUUUUCACCCAGGCCCCAUGCCAUCCCAUCCCACAGCAGUAACUAACUGUGUCUACAUAACAGGGUUGGCCCUUGGAGCAUUCCUGGAAAGGUCAAAAGGCAGCACGCUCAAAAUUCUGAAGAACAUAUUUAUAAGCGGUUCUGAAAUCUUGUGUAUCUGACUUAUAGCCACAUCUGCUUGUCCUAAUAGUCUCAGAGGAAAUCUUGUUUAAUAAAAAGCUUUCGAUUUCCUAGUCAGGCCUUUAUGGUUGCCUUGGGGUGUGUGUGGCCACUUCCUCUAAUGAAAGGCUCUUUGAGUUCUAAAUCUCUUUGUUGGGCUGGACCCUGCUCUUUGGAAUAUUUGGGGACAGUCUUUUCCUGGAAGAGAACAAAUUCACCCUCCAUCCACACCCUGCAGCAUUUUGCCAGGCAACAGCCAAACCUUUGUUCUCAUGACACCUGCAGUCGGAGGUGGACUGUCUUCUGCGGUGGUUAUGCUCACCUAACAGUGGUUCUCUGGUGGGAAGGGAGAGGUGAAAAUCGGGCGAGGCCGAGUACUCGGCUGUGUACUAGGACAAAGCCACGGAAAGUGGCCAUUUCAGUUACUUCCCACAGUAAACAGCUUUGGGGAAUUUGGGAUGUUUAAUUUUUUAAUUCUAGCAACUUCACCUCUUUAGGGCUGUGUGCUCACCUUUUUCUUACUCCUGAGUAUCCAUUUACUUCUUGGGAACAACUACAGUUGUAGGUAGAUAUUGGUGGGCGGAGAUGACCGUCCCGGUACCUGAAUUUGGCCUCGGAUCUUGGCCAUUAGGAUAGGAUUUUCAGUUUACCCAGAGCACUAGCAUGGAAACACUUGGAAAAAGACUCCCACAUCUUGAAAAUUCUGACUCUCCUCUUGACUGCACCUCCUUCCUCGUCUGCCAGUCAUUUUUUUUUUUUUUUUUAACAAGGCCAAGAGUAGCCAGUGGUUUCUUUCCACCACAGUUUGAGGAUCUAACUUUUCCUUAAGUGACCCCACAGCCCCAUGCUCUCGGAGGGAAUAUGUUAAGCUUUUAUGAGAUUCUAUUUUCAGUAAAUUACUGCUUCGGGACACUUGGAGAGAGCAGUGAGAGUCAUUGUCUAUGCAAAGAACAACCAGGCUGACACUAAAAUUUACCAGAUGUAAGAAAAGAGUAAAACCGUAUCUGGCCGCAGGACAGAAUUUUACGUUAGAAACUUGGGUUUUUGAGGGCUUUACCGUUGUAGAGAAACGCUGGGAGUCUGCAUACCAUAGCCCACCAUGAACAGACGUCGGUUCUGUGGGUGAUGUGGUGUCUGUGUGCACACUGCAAUAUUUCAAAGGACGCUACCUGAGCAGCCUGACUUGCCUCUUGUGUGAGCACUGAGGCAGCUCUUCGUGAGAUCUGAGUGCCCGUCUGCAGACUACUGCUCUUUCUAAUCCAUGAUGUUAUAUGUAAAUAGCUUUAAUUGUUCCUUAAUUGCGUCUUAGAUGAAGUCCUGUUCACUUAGCAACCAGGUAGACAGUGACCAAAUGAGGCUGUAAAAUGUGCUGUUGUUUUCUACUGUGAUGUACUUGAAGGACAGCCCUGUGUCCCCCAAUCUUUCAAUCUUCCAUCGUAUUUUAUGUUUGGGGAAUCCUCAGGUUAUUCUCCAUUUCCGUUUUGCCUCCAUUUUCUUUGCUUCUUCUGGAGACCCAGGGAGGCCCACAGUGGAGAUCAUUUGUAAGAAAUGUAUCACGGUCUGGGUUUCCAAAAAUGUUGUAUGUACAGUGAAUGAGAGGAAUCUGCCUGAAAAUGGUUUCAGAACCAAGUACCUUUAUGCUUUGUGAUUGUGAAACCUUGACUUUUGUAACCCAAAAAAUGAACACUGUUUAGUAAAGGGGAUCUAUUUUGUGUGUUUUGAAACUUAGGUGCAAUGUUCCCUGGACAAAGCUAAAGAAAUGUAUAUGCUCAAUGACAUUUUAAAAUAAAGUAUUAUAUAUAUGUAUAUAGGAUACCUUUAGAAAAAGUUCUGUGUUACUUCUUUUAACUCUCUAUGAAGUUUCUUCAUAUCAGGUGAUGAAAUGAGGAGUGUCAUGGACUCGUGUGAAGUUUCGAACUAUGAACAGACUCCAAAGAAAAUCAAAAGGGAAUGGAUGCCAACACCAUAAACCUUCACAGGAAUAGCAGUAAAGGCUAUGUAUUUCAACAAUGCAUCUAGAAGAAGCACCUUGGAUAUUAUUCCCAAGAAUUGCUCCCAAGAGGAGCUCGGCGAGCAAGGGGACGGAGACUGCGAGGGGCGAUCUGGACACAAA